UUCCGGUUGAUCCUGCCGGACUUACUGCUAUCGAGGUUCGACUAAGCCAUGCGAGUCAUUUGUAGCAUUACAUGGCGAACUGUUCAUUAACACGAGUCUAACCUCCCCUUAGGACGGAAUUAAACCCGGAAAACUGGAAAUAAGACCCAAUAAAUCUCGACUGCUGAAAUGCUUAUGGAUCCAAAGUUCCGGCGCCUAAGGAUGGAUCUGCGGCCUAUCAGGUUGUAGUGGGUGUAGCGUACCUACUAGCCUAUGACGGGUACGGGUUGUGAGAGCAAGAGCCCGGAGAUGGAUUCUGAGACACGAAUCCAGGCCCUACGGGGCGCAGCAGGCGCGAAAACUUUACAAUGCCGGCAACGGCGAUAAGGGGACCUCGAGUGCCUUGUUACAAAUCUGGCUGUCGUGAUGCCUAAAAAGCAUUGCAUAUAAUGGGCCGGGCAAGACCGGUGCCAGCCGCCGCGGUAACACCGGCGGCUCGAGUGGUAACCGUUAUUAUUGGGUCUAAAGGGUCUGUAGCCGGCCGUAUAAGUCUCUUGGGAAAUCUGUCAGCUUAACUGUCAGGCUUUCAGGAGAUACUGUCUGGCUCGAGGCCGGGAGAGGUGAGAG
This 606-nucleotide ribosomal RNA is filed under the name uncultured archaeon. RNAcentral describes it as "bacterial SSU rRNA". It matches the Rfam family "Archaeal small subunit ribosomal RNA", at positions 1 to 614 of the family's 1478-position model. The record is from RNAcentral.